AACAUUACAAUGAACGAGCACAGUAGUAAAAGAUCUCUGUUGAUAGAAAGCUAGUGGCUGAUGAAAACUAGUACAAGUCUUUUUACGAAUUACACUCUGGAGUAACUUGAUUAAUCUCAAGCGUCUUACUGGCGUUAACAGUCAAUGAGUGGUCAACAAAUUUUGCACUGAAAUUUGUCGGCAAAUUGGGUGGUAACACGAAAAAUUUCGUCCCGAUG
RNAcentral lists this non-coding RNA (218 nucleotides) under Carnobacterium sp. Its description in RNAcentral is "T-box sequence". It matches the Rfam family "T-box leader". Rfam says of the family: Uncharged tRNA acts as the effector for transcription antitermination of genes in the T-box leader family. Lineage: Bacteria; Bacillati; Bacillota; Bacilli; Lactobacillales; Carnobacteriaceae. The record is from RNAcentral.